GAAGAAGGUAGCAGAGCAAGAAUGAUUAUUCUGACAUAAAAUGACUGAAUAAUAAGUGUCUAUUUCUCAAUAGAAGUCUAUGUGAUUUUGACCUUCUUGGAACCAGCAGGUUCUUCCUAUUUAGAACACGAUAGGGGAGGGGGUUGAUAUGUCCAGUGAAUGUACAGUCGAUGAUCCAGCCAGAGGUUACAAUAUUUAGAGAGAAAAUGAACAACAAAAUAAAACAAAAUGUUAAUGGAUCUAUUUGUUUGCAAGUGCAUUUAUUGGAAUGGAGCAGAGGAGGGAGCUAGUUUCUACCUAACAUUUAUAAGCUUUUUAAAACCUCUUUUUCCCCCCACAAUUUGAAUAAAAAAUACUCAGAAAUGCAGUUUUAAUCCUAAUUUUCUUUAUAUAUGUCCUCCAUCAUGAGAAAAUGCUACAAAUACUAUUUUCAUUAGAGCGGGUCUUUCAAUGGGAUUAAAACAUUUUUUUUUUGUUUUCAAAUCUCCUCUUUCUGUGUUUUUUUGUUCUCUCUCUCUCUUAUUAAUAAUGAGAAACGUUUGGCUGGGAUUUGGUACAUUCCACCUCCCGGCUUCAGCUUCACAGAGUCAGCUGCAGUCAGUGAUGGACCUCCAAGAGCUGUUUUAAUUAGAGCUAUCUGGACUCUGGAGACAUCCCUCCCUAAAUAGAACAAAGCUGGCGAGAGACAAAAAAGUGUGCCUUUCAGGAUGCCUCAAAACACCAACUGCAGCCCCCCCUCCCAAUGGUGUGUGGAUACUGCACAGCAGGGGCAGCGUCACCUGACAGAUGGAAAUGAUGAGGGCAGGCAGCAGGAACACAGCCAUGGUCAUCCAGGUGACAUAGGCUUUGAGCCCCCACGGCUCUGCGAAGUGCCCCCAGCACUCGUACUCUCCGGGAGCCACUUCAGAUCGAGAGAAGAUGAACACCUGACAAAAAAAAA
This is a long non-coding RNA of Oryzias melastigma (Indian medaka), 940 nucleotides long. RefSeq lists it as uncharacterized. NCBI's taxonomy places the organism in Eukaryota, Metazoa, Chordata, Actinopteri, Beloniformes, Adrianichthyidae. The record is from RefSeq and is a predicted model, not a curated record. The transcript has 2 exons.